This 496-nucleotide ribosomal RNA is filed under the name uncultured bacterium. Its description in RNAcentral is "partial 16S ribosomal RNA". It matches the Rfam family "Bacterial small subunit ribosomal RNA", at positions 28 to 506 of the family's 1533-position model. The record is from RNAcentral.
GAUGAACGCUGGCGGCGUGCCUAAUACAUGCAAGUCGAGAGAACGGACGAGAAGCUUGCUUCUCUGAUGUUAGCGGCGGACGGGUGAGUAACACGUGGAUAACCUACCUAUAAGACUGGGAUAACUUCGGGAAACCGGAGCUAAUACCGGAUAAUAUUUUGAACCGCAUGGUUCAAAAGUGAAAGACGGUCUUGCUGUCACUUAUAGAUGGAUCCGCGCUGCAUUAGCUAGUUGGUAAGGUAACGGCUUACCAAGGCAACGAUGCAUAGCCGACCUGAGAGGGUGAUCGGCCACACUGGAACUGAGACACGGUCCAGACUCCGACGGGAGGCAGCAGUAGGGAAUCUGCCGCAAUGGGCGAGAGCCUGACGGAGCAACGCCGCGUGAGUGAUGAAGGUCUUCGGAUCGUAAAACGCUGUUAUUAGGGAAGAACAUAUGUGUAAGUAACUGUGCACAUCUUGACGGUACCUAAUCAGAAAGCCACGGCUAACUACGU